This 95-nucleotide transfer RNA is filed under the name Pleodorina starrii. It matches the Rfam family "tRNA". Rfam says of the family: Transfer RNA (tRNA) molecules are approximately 80 nucleotides in length. Their secondary structure includes four short double-helical elements and three loops (D, anti-codon, and T loops). The record is from Rfam by way of RNAcentral. Lineage: Eukaryota; Viridiplantae; Chlorophyta; Chlorophyceae; Chlamydomonadales; Volvocaceae.
GGGGUCGUAGCUCAAAUGGAAGAGCGCCCGCUUAGCAUGAGGCUGAGCGCCGCAGAACAUGCGGGAGGUAGGGGGAUCGAUGCCCUCCGACUCCA